Non-coding RNA from Apodospora peruviana, 102 nucleotides. The record is from the annotation of a GenBank genome assembly. NCBI's taxonomy places the organism in Eukaryota, Fungi, Ascomycota, Sordariomycetes, Sordariales, Lasiosphaeriaceae.
GCCCGGCUGGCUCAAUUGGUAGAGCACCAGACUUCUAUUGAACUUGAAAACAGAACAAUCAGAUUCAUCUGGAGGCUGUGGGUUCGAGUCCCACGUUGGGUG